Molecule: ribosomal RNA, 460 nt
Filed under: uncultured bacterium
Lineage: Bacteria
Description: partial 16S ribosomal RNA
Rfam family: Bacterial small subunit ribosomal RNA
Source: RNAcentral
CCUACGGGUGGCAGCAGUGAGGAAUAUUGGUCAAUGGACGCAAGUCUGAACCAGCCAUGCCGCGUGCAGGAAGACGGCGCUAUGAGUUGUAAACUGCUUUUGUACGAGGGUAAACGCAGAUACGCGUAUCUGUCUGAAAGUAUCGUACGAAUAAGGAUCGGCUAGCUCCGUGCCAGCAGCCGCGGUAAUACGGAGGAUUCAAGCGUUAUCCGGGUUUAUUGGGUUUAAAGGGUGCGUAGGCGGUCGGUUAAGUUAGAGGUGAAAUCCCGAGGCUCAACUUCGGAAUGGCCUCUGAUACUGUUCGGCUAGAGCGUACUUGCGGUAGGCGGAAUGUGUGGUGUAGCGGUGAAAUGCUUAGAGAUCAUGCAGAACACCGAUUGCGAAGGCAGCUUACCAGGCUACAUCUGACGUUGAGGCACGAAAGCGUGGGGAGCAAACAGGAUUAGAUACCCUUGUAGUC